RNAcentral lists this ribosomal RNA (842 nucleotides) under uncultured marine bacterium. Its description in RNAcentral is "bacterial SSU rRNA". It matches the Rfam family "Bacterial small subunit ribosomal RNA", at positions 57 to 947 of the family's 1533-position model. The record is from RNAcentral.
GCAAGUCGAACGAAGUAGCAAUACUUAGUGGCAGACGGGUGAGUAACAUGUAGGUAUCUACCCUUUGGCCUGGAAUAACACGAGGAAACUUGUGCUAAUACCGGAUAAGUCUUUACGGAGAAAGCUUUAUGCACCAUUGGAUGAGCCUGCACUUGAUUAGUUUGUUGGUAGGGUAAUGGCCUACCAAGACUGUGAUCAAUAGCUGAUUUGAGAGGAUGAUCAGCCACAUUGGGACUGAGACACGGCCCAAACUCCUACGGGAGGCAGCAGUGGGGAAUCUUGCACAAUGGAGGAAACUCUGAUGCAGCGAUGCCGCGUGAGUGAAGAAGGCCUUUGGGUUGUAAAGCUCUUUCGUCGGGGAAGAAAAUGACUGUACCCGAAUAAGAAGGUCCGGCUAACUUCGUGCCAGCAGCCGCGGUAAUACGAAGGGACCUAGCGUAGUUCGGAAUUACUGGGCUUAAAGAGUUCGUAGGUGGUUGAAAAAGUUGGUGGUGAAAUCCCAGAGCUUAACUCUGGAACUGCCAUCAAAACUUUUCAGCUAGAGUUUGAUAGAGGAAAGCAGAAUUUCUAGUGUAGAGGUGAAAUUCGUAGAUAUUAGAAAGAAUACCAAUUGCGAAGGCAGCUUUCUGGAUCAUUACUGACACUGAGGAACGAAAGCAUGGGUAGCGAAGAGGAUUAGAUACCCUCGUAGUCCAUGCCGUANACGAUGUGUGUUAGACGUUGGAAAUUUAUUUUCAGUGUCGCAGCGAAAGCGAUAAACACACCGCCUGGGGAGUACGACCGCAAGGUUAAAACUCAAAUGAAUUGACGGGGACCCGCACAAGUAGUGGAGCAUGUGGUUU